RNAcentral lists this long non-coding RNA (1442 nucleotides) under Nicotiana tabacum (common tobacco). Its description in RNAcentral is "long non-coding RNA (NTAB_LNC007288)". Lineage: Eukaryota; Viridiplantae; Streptophyta; Magnoliopsida; Solanales; Solanaceae. The record is from RNAcentral.
UAAAUCACUAAUACAUAUUACACUUGGUCACUUCCCAUUUCCCAUUUCCCAUUUCCCAAACCUAAAUAAAGAAUUAGAUUUAGGGUUCUCAAACCUACAUCAAUUGAAAAGUUCGCCUCUUCGGUUCUUCCUUCUUCCUGUGCGACUGCUGCGACUGCGACUGCGACUGCGACUGCUGUGACUCUUCGUCGCCGUCUCGCCGACUAUUGCGACUUCUUCUGAGUUCCUGUGAGUUCUGCGCCUUCUUCCUCAGCUCAACUAUGACGCCUUCUUCCUCAGCUCGUCGCUCAUCCUUCAUCCUCAGAUUAGUGUGAGUUCUUAUGAGUUAUGAAGAAAGAAAAUGUCUUAAUCUUUUGUGUAUGUUGACUUUCAAUUAGUCUCACGGCUAGUCUUUUGUUUAUGUUGAUUUUCAAUUAGUCUCACUGUUAUUCUUUUGUGUAUGAAGAAAGAAAAUGUCUCACUGUCUUAGUCUUUCACUUUAGUAUAUUUCAAAAUCAGGUCUAACGUAUGGACAACUUUACUUUAGUAUUACGCACCAUAAUUUCUCUCAAAAUUUCAAAAAGCAAUCAAGUACAUCAAUAAAAUAAUAAGGUGCUUGGAUAUUUCUGUCAAAGGAGGUUUAUGGCCAACCGAAAAAGUAAAGGAUUUGCUUUACAUACCACUACAAUAAAUAAGUAUUGUAAAUAAACUCUAAAGUUAAAAGAGAAAGAUGCUUGGAUGUUUCUGCCAAAUGAAGUUUCUAGGUAGAUGGCCAACCUAAAAAGCAAAGGAUUUGCUUUACAUACCACUACAAUAAAUAAGUAAUGUAAAUAAACUCUAAAGUUAAAAAAGAAAUAUACAGAUUAAACAUGUUUCCACUUAUGAACAUAGAAAAAUUAGUAUCUACACAUAAUCGUUUGAUAAUUAUUUGAACAAGUGGUAAGUUUAAAGAUUUGCUUGUUUUAUGAUAUUAUUUUGUUAUUUAUAAUUAAAAAUAUUUUAUUAACUUGUGAAAUUUUCUAAUUUUUCUUUGUAGGUUCAACUAUGCCUCGUGGUCCCAAAGCUAGAUCGCUUAUUUGAGAACAUUUUGAGCUAGUUAAAGUAAAUGAAGAAGCACGCAAAGCAAAGUGUCUUCAUUGUGGUCGUGUUUAUAAUUGUCAUCCAAAGUAUUAUGGCACUUAUGGCUUAGUGAAAUAUAUUAAGAAGUGUCUCAUGCCUCUGUGAUUCGUAUUUAAGGCUUUAAGUAUUAUUUUCUAGACUUACUUUAUGGCUUAUGGGUUGUGACUAGUUUUUCACUGUUUUGUUGUUUGGUGAUGGUAUUUCUAGACUUAUUUUGGACUUUGGUAGCUGCUAGAUUUGCCACUGUGUUAAACUGUUUUGGACUAGUUUGCCACUACUGAACUGUGCGGUAUUUUGCUACUUAGGUGUUCUAUUUGCACUGAUGCCACUGAAGGUCUCCCUGC